This 85-nucleotide small RNA is filed under the name Halomonas sp. BC04. RNAcentral's name for it is "DUF3800-VII RNA". It matches the Rfam family "DUF3800-VII RNA". The record is from Rfam by way of RNAcentral. Lineage: Bacteria; Pseudomonadati; Pseudomonadota; Gammaproteobacteria; Oceanospirillales; Halomonadaceae.
UGCAGGCAAGCGCGGGGCUUGUAGAGGUCGCCGAAAGGUGGCAGCCCGAAAGGGUGGGAUCCUCGAACCCGGGGCCUGUUUAAAU